GCGGGUGUGGCGGAACCGGCAGACGCACCGGAUUUAGGUUCCGGCGCCGCAAGGCGUGGGGGUUCGAAUCCCCCCACCCGCACCA
Molecule: transfer RNA, 85 nt
Filed under: Pseudomonadota bacterium
Lineage: Bacteria; Pseudomonadati; Pseudomonadota
Also listed under: 1 other name
Description: tRNA-Leu
Rfam family: tRNA
About the family: Transfer RNA (tRNA) molecules are approximately 80 nucleotides in length. Their secondary structure includes four short double-helical elements and three loops (D, anti-codon, and T loops).
Source: RNAcentral